UACGGAGGGUGCGAGCGUUGUCCGGAAUCAUUGGGCGUAAAGGGCGCGUAGGUGGCCCGGUCAGUUCGUGGUGAAAGCGCGGGGCUCAACCCUGCGUCGGCCAUGAAUACUGCCGCGGCUGGAGCACUGUAGAGGCAGGCGGAAUUCCGGGUGUAGCGGUGGAAUGCGUAGAGAUCCGGAAGAACACCGGUGGCGAAGGCGGCCUGCUGGGCAGUUGCUGGACACUGAGGCGCGACAGCGUGGGGAGCAACA
RNAcentral lists this ribosomal RNA (252 nucleotides) under uncultured bacterium. RNAcentral describes it as "partial 16S ribosomal RNA". It matches the Rfam family "Bacterial small subunit ribosomal RNA", at positions 524 to 773 of the family's 1533-position model. The record is from RNAcentral.